RNAcentral lists this ribosomal RNA (1498 nucleotides) under Bacillus sp. (in: firmicutes). Its description in RNAcentral is "bacterial SSU rRNA". It matches the Rfam family "Bacterial small subunit ribosomal RNA". The record is from RNAcentral. Lineage: Bacteria; Bacillati; Bacillota; Bacilli; Caryophanales; Bacillaceae.
GAAAAUGGCGGCGGGCCUAUACAUGCAAGUCGAGCGGACCGACGGGAGCUUGCUCCCUUAGGUCAGCGGCGGACGGGUGAGUAACACGUGGGUAACCUGCCUGUAAGACUGGGAUAACUCCGGGAAACCGGGGCUAAUACCGGAUGCUUGAUUGAACCGCAUGGUUCAAUCAUAAAAGGUGGCUUUUAGCUACCACUUACAGAUGGACCCGCGGCGCAUUAGCUAGUUGGUGAGGUAACGGCUCACCAAGGCGACGAUGCGUAGCCGACCUGAGAGRGUGAUCGGCMACACUGGGACUGAGAACACGGCCCARACUCCUACGGGAGGCAGCAGUARGGAAUCUUCCGCAAUGRACGRAAGUCUGACGGARCAACGCSCYGUGAGUGAUGAAGGUUUUCGGAUCGUAAAACUCUGUUGUUAGGGAAGAACAAGUACCGUUCGAAUAGGGCGGUACCUUGACGGUACCUAACCCAGAAAGCCACGGCUAACUACGUGCCAGCAGCCGCGGUAAUACGUARGUGGCAAGCGUUGUCSGGAAUUAUUGGGCGUAAAGCGCGCGCAGGCGGUUUCUUAAGUCUGAUGUGAAAGCCCCCGGCUCAACCGGGGAGGGUCAUUGGAAACUGGGGAACUUGAGUGCAGAAGARGAGAGUGGAAUUCCACGUGUAGCGGUGAAAUGCGUAGAGAUGUGGAGGAACACCAGUGGCGAAGGCGACUCUCUGGUCUGUAACUGACGCUGARGCGCGAAAGCGUGGGGAGCGAACAGGAUUAGAUACCCUGGUAGUCCACGCCGUAAACGAUGAGUGCUAAGUGUUAGAGGGUUUCCGCCCUUUAGUGCUGCAGCAAACGCAUUAAGCACUCCGCCUGGGGAGUACGGUCGCAAGACUGAAACUCAAAGGAAUUGACGGGGGCCCGCACAAGCCGGUGGAGCAUGUGGUUUAAUUCGAAGCAACGCGAAGAACCUUACCAGGUCUUGACAUCCUCUGACAACCCUAGAGAUAGGGCUUCCCCUUCGGGGGCAGAGUGACAGGUGGUGCAUGGUUGUCGUCAGCUCGUGUCGUGAGAUGUUGGGUUAAGUCCCGCAACGAGCGCAACCCUUGAUCUUAGUUGCCAGCAUUCAGUUGGGCACUCUAAGGUGACUGCCGGUGACAAACCGGAGGAAGGUGGGGAUGACGUCAAAUCAUCAUGCCCCUUAUGACCUGGGCUACACACGUGCUAACAAUGGGCAGAACAAAGGGCAGCGAAGCCGCGAGGCUAAGCCAAUCCCACAAAUCUGUUCUCAGUUCGGAUCGCAGUCUGCAACUCGACUGCGUGAAGCUGGAAUCGCUAGUAAUCGCGGAUCAGCAUGCCGCGGUGAAUACGUUCCCGGGCCUUGUACACACCGCCCGUCACACCACGAGAGUUUGUAACACCCGAAGUCGGUGAGGUAACCUUUUGGAGCCAGCCGCCGAAGGUGGGACAGAUGAUUGGGGUGAAGUCGUAACAAGGAUGCCACUUAGGG